GAUGUGUGCACUUUUCUGUGUGCAUGUGUGUGUGCGUGCACAGUUUAUGUAGGCAAGGAUGUGCUUUUGGUCCCUGGGGGGGCCUCUGCGUGAGUCAUCUGUGUCCCUUCACGUCAUCUCGUGGCAUAUUUUACGUCUCUCUAAAGCCUCUAUUCUCCAACUCAUCAGAGAAGCUGGACUUGAUUCCAGAUUAAGAACCACCGCUGUAAGCAACCUCGUUAGUCCCUUAAAACGCACGGGAAACUCACACCUUUAUAAAGAUGAGGGGUUUAGCAUGUUCUUUUCAUGAGGCCACCAAAGCCAUGCCACACAUCUUCGCUCUGUCAGACCCGGUGCUUAUGUGGACGAACCUUUUCAGACAGGUUGCAUGCCGUUCAGCCCCGCAGGAAGCCCUUUGCAGCUUCCUAAAUCGAAGCCAGUGCCCGUGCAGGGGGCAUGCAUCUCCCAGGGCCUGGGGCCACUGCACUGCGAUGUCACCCCUGCACCGUCCCCCGUCUCCUCAAGGUCAGCGGGCACCAUGAAAAAGCAUCUGGCCCCCGUGCAGGCCUCGUACCCAACACACGGAAACCUCUUAUAAAGUCACCUUACCCGGUCUCCCUUUGAAAAUGAUCCCAUUUAUGCUGUAGACUGUACCCGUGUCACCGUAAAACAAGUGACUGGGGGUGUUGGUCCUCUCAACGGGCAUUUGAAUCAGACCAGGCAUGAGGUCCAACAAAGAUGCAUCAUUUGAGUGAUCGGUUUUGGACUAAUGUGCCUAGAGGAUGACAGGAUGAAUGAAUCCAUUCAAGGUCCAGCCCUCGGUGCCCCCCACCUCAGUAUCCUCACCGUCUCUUUUGUCUGGCUUUCAAGCACGCUGCACAAACAGACGCCCGAGCGGCACACCCCCGUGGACCUUCUGUUGUGCCGUAUGGACCUACCACCUGGGGCACUCCCCUCCCUAGCAAGAAACGCCUCGUGGCUGAUACCAUCCUGAGGUCCUCGGAAGAGGAUGGGGGAAGGUCAGUCAGACUGGACUUGGCAGACGGACAAAAGGGCCAGAGCCAGGAAUGCAGGUGGCCUCCAAGCUUCGAAAAUAGCAUGGAAGUGGUUCUCCCGGGACAUGCAGAAGGGACACAGCCCUGCCUCCUCCUGCACCAUGGCCCGAGCCAACCAAAUAAUGCUGAGCAUUGAAUCAACGUUUGCUGGACUGAAUAGAACGGAAGUGCCCCUGACCGCUUCCAGCUCCGGGCACCUGGCAUUAUGCAGAGAAAAUCAUUAACUGUAGAUUCUACAAACUGUCUCCCUCCCUGGUUCUUUACUGCUUCCGCCACCUCUGAGAAAAGCCCGCAUGUUCCAUUCUUGGUCUGACCCACAUGGUAGACAUCUUCUGUCCUGCAAAUCUCUGAGGACUGUCCUUUUUUAGAAAGCUGUACAUAAAAUGGGAUGUGUUUCUUAUGCCAGAGGAA
This is a non-coding RNA of Manis javanica (Malayan pangolin), 1445 nucleotides long. The record is from RefSeq and is a predicted model, not a curated record. NCBI's taxonomy places the organism in Eukaryota, Metazoa, Chordata, Mammalia, Pholidota, Manidae.